This 677-nucleotide ribosomal RNA is filed under the name uncultured archaeon. Its description in RNAcentral is "bacterial SSU rRNA". It matches the Rfam family "Archaeal small subunit ribosomal RNA", at positions 321 to 999 of the family's 1478-position model. The record is from RNAcentral.
CCCUACGGGGUGCAGCAGGCGAGAAAACUUUGCAAUGUGCGAAAGCACGACAAGGUUAAUCCGAGUGGUUUCUGCUAAAGAAACCUUUUGUUAGUCCUAGAAACACUGAUGAAUAAGGGGUGGGCAAGUUCUGGUGUCAGCCGCCGCGGUAAAACCAGCACCUCAAGUGGUCAGGAUGAUUAUUGGGCCUAAAGCAUCCGUAGCCGGCUAUGUAAGUUUUCGGUUAAAUCUGUGCGCUUAACGUACAGGCUGCCGGGAAUACUGCAUGGCUAGGAAGUGGGAGAGGUAGACGGUACUCGGUAGGAAGGGGUAAAAUCCUUUGAUCUAUUGAUGACCACCUGUGGCGAAGGCGGUCUACCAGAACACGUUCGACGGUGAGGGAUGAAAGCUGGGGGAGCAAACCGGAUUAGAUACCCGGGUAGUCCCAGCUGUAAACUAUGCAAACUCAAUGAUGCAUUGGCUUGUGGCCAAUGCAGUGUUGCAGGGAAGCCGUUAAGUUUGCCGCCUGGGAAGUACGUACGCAAGUAUGAAACUUAAAGGAAUUGGCGGGGGAGCACCACAAGGGGUGAAGCCUGCGGUUCAAUUGGAGUCAACGCCAGAAAUCUUACCCGGAGAGACAGCAGAAUGAAGGUCAAGCUGAAGACUUUACCAGACAAGCUGAGAAGAGGUGCAUGGCC